RNAcentral lists this ribosomal RNA (465 nucleotides) under Vreelandella stevensii. Its description in RNAcentral is "partial 16S ribosomal RNA". It matches the Rfam family "Bacterial small subunit ribosomal RNA", at positions 338 to 795 of the family's 1533-position model. Lineage: Bacteria; Pseudomonadati; Pseudomonadota; Gammaproteobacteria; Oceanospirillales; Halomonadaceae. The record is from RNAcentral.
CCUACGGGAGGCAGCAGUGGGGAAUAUUGGACAAUGGGGGCAACCCUGAUCCAGCCAUGCCGCGUGUGUGAAGAAGGCCCUCGGGUUGUAAAGCACUUUCAGUGAGGAAGAACGCCUGGUGGUUAAUACCCAUCAGGAAAGACAUCACUCACAGAAGAAGCACCGGCUAACUCCGUGCCAGCAGCCGCGGUAAUACGGAGGGUGCGAGCGUUAAUCGGAAUUACUGGGCGUAAAGCGCGCGUAGGUGGCUUGAUAAGCCGGUUGUGAAAGCCCCGGGCUCAACCUGGGAACGGCAUCCGGAACUGUCAAGCUAGAGUGCAGGAGAGGAAGGUAGAAUUCCCGGUGUAGCGGUGAAAUGCGUAGAGAUCGGGAGGAAUACCAGUGGCGAAGGCGGCCUUCUGGACUGAAACUGACACUGAGGUGCGAAAGCGUGGGUAGCAAACAGGAUUAGAUACCCCGGUAGUC